This 11408-nucleotide long non-coding RNA is filed under the name Brassica napus (rape). Its description in RNAcentral is "long non-coding RNA (BNAP_LNC021542)". Lineage: Eukaryota; Viridiplantae; Streptophyta; Magnoliopsida; Brassicales; Brassicaceae. The record is from RNAcentral.
CAAAAGUAUUAUUGGGACCCCAUUCAUGACAAUGUGGUGCGUUUACAUUGGAAGAAGACAAUGAUGUCGUUGAUCUCCAACUUCAUCAGCAAGCGCAAGCGGAGUGGCAAGAUACCUCCAUUCAUGAGUUCAGAGCACUGGGGUGCUUUGCAAACAUAUUGGGGUACUGAACCUGCUAGAAAGAAAAGCAAGUCUGCUUCUGAAAGCCGCUGCUCAGAUCAAGGAGGUCUAGGUCAACACAUCCACACUGCUGGUUCGACACGAUUUAUGAAGAUCAAAUAUGAUACGGUAAAUAUGAAUGUUAAGUUUUAAAAGUUACUCCCUUGUAGUUAUAUCACUAUUAAAUCUCUCGCUAAUACAUUAACUUUAUUUACAUGGUGGUUAGAUGGUUGCUAAUGGUGGGAUUGAACCCUCGUUGAUUGAUCUUGUGAGAAAGACCCAUACUCGGAAAGAUGGCACAUUUGCAGAUGGUCGUGCAAAGAAAAUUGUAGAAGAUGUUGAAGCUGCAGUGACCCAUUCUGAAGGACUUGGCGUGGGGGGGUCUGCUGCAACAACACCAUCACCGCAACAACUUGAUAAGUUUUUUUAUUGAGGUAAAUGGCUUGUAACUAAUUAAGUUUAAAACUUCAUUGUGGUUAUUUGAUUGACACAAUUUUUUUAAUAGGCUGUCCCACCUUACAAAGGGCGUGUUUAUGGCCUUGGCUCUGCUCAUUGUUAUUAUGGUGAUUCCACGCCUUCCACCUCAACUGCUAUCCCACGCACAAUGCAAUUGGAGACAAGGGUGACUUUCAGCGAAGGCAACAUGAGUUCCAUGCAAGGUAGCAUCAACUCCAUGCAAGGUAACAUCAACUCCAUGGCCACAGAGAUUGCUGCUAUCAUGGAAGCCUCACGAAUGCUACUGGAGGCAAAUGGGAUUGAUCCAUCAGUUGUCCUCAAAUCAACAACUACUAAUCCAGCGGAGCCAGCGCAGGAAGCAACUCCGGAGCAGCAGUCACCAACUUUAAACCGCCAAACACAAGCUCCUGCUACCACUCCGAUCAACUUGGGGGACAUGGAACCUCAGUCUUUUGGUGGAUACUUUGAGAAUGAUCUCAACCAGUAGCAUUAUGCUUAAUUUUGUUUUUGUAUUAAAUAGGACUAACGGCAUAUUGAGCGUAUGAAAUGCUCUCUUUUGGUAGAACAUAUUAACUGGUCUUUUUUUAGUAGAACAUAUUAAUGUUCUUUGUUUGGUAUUAGAACAUGUGAAAGUUCUUUGUAUGCUAGAACAUAUGCAUGUUCUGUUUCUGUAAGAAUAUAUGAAUGUCUGUUUGUAUGACUUCGUUUUAAUUAGAAAUAUUUCGGAUAUUAAUAUUUUGUUUUCUAAUUAUUUUUUGUUAUUUGAAAAUUUAUUGGUUGAUAUUAAAUUACAAUUUUACAUUUUUUAAUGUUUUAGUUUGCCACGAAAAUUGACACAUUUCAUAAGUGGCUGUUAGUUAGGGAAUAUUCCGUUGCUAUAUUGUGGUAAAUCUGCUAGGAAUUUUUCGUAGCCAAUUCAUGGCAAAUAGCUAAGGAUUUAACGAGGCAAAAGCGUGGUGAUAAUCGUGGCAUUUAGCCAGGGACUAAACAAUGGCUUAUUCAUAGCUAAUAGCCACGUUCACAAGCCUUGGCAAAACCGCCGCAUAGGCCACGGACAGCUACGGCCUCCACUUUAGCAACGAUCGUAUAUCAACGAAAAAUAAUCGUGGCCUUACGUGGCGAUUUUCAUUUUAGCCAGAGAUGUGAUCCUUUAGCCACACCAAUUUCCCUGGCCAUCCGAUACAUUUCUUGUAGUGUUUGUGGCCAAAACCAAAUUAAGUUGUAGUUUAAAGAUUUAUUGGAUUCUUUAUCUUCCAUUACAUCAGAUUCAUCACCGUUAAAUGCUUUGAAAUCUUCUCAGAGCUCUCUUGCUUAAUCAGAGAAGAGAUUAUUAAUAGAUAUUACCGUCUUUACUUCGCAGCGGGAUGGCUUCACCAAAAUGGAAUCGAGCUGAAACACAGUCUGGAAACUCAAAUUCCUAAUGGCGACACCUGCAUCACCAUCGGCUGUAUCCAAAGCAGGCAUUGUAUCCAAAGAAGCCAGUGCCGUCCUAAUGUAAGUUGUAACCAGGUCUUAUUUUCCUCUCUAAUUUCAAUGUAAAACUAAAUAUUUGAUUUCUGUAGAAUUUGAUUAGUGAUUAAGGUGAGGCUUGAGGAGUAUUGAAUAUUGAUCGCACAACGACUAGAUUGUUCUACUUCAUGUGAUAGUUUAGUUGGAUCAUGUUAUACGCUUUUGAGUAUAACCAUUUACAAGAACCUACUGCUAAUGUAGUGGUGUCUUUUUAAAUUAGUUCCGCCUCCCUCUGUACUUAAAGCACAUCAAUUAAACAUUUGAUGACUUUUUUCAAUGAAUUUUUUUUUAUAUUUUAAUUUGCUUUUUUAGUAAAAGAUUGUGGUAGCUAUAUAAAAUUGAUUUCAAUAUUUAUGUGUUGAAUGGGACGGUGUGAUACUAGGUGUGGAUACCCGAGCAACUGAAGGGCCCAUUGUUUUCUGAUAAGAAUUAUGAGCAAAUUCACUUAAGGGUACCAAACAUAUAUUGAUGUGGGGUUGAACAGUGCAUUCCAAGUUAUGAAGAGAUACAAUAAUGUACUGUUUGAUGGAAGCUCAAUGAAACUAGAGAUUUUGGGUGGAAAUAUGAAGGAUGCUUUUUUUGCAAGCUCGUGUUAAUGCAACUGGAAUGAACGAAAGGAUGAAGAGGACUGAUUCCAUUGAGGAUGUCUUGCUAUUUAAUUUGUCCUUUUUCCACUUACGAAAGAAAACUGAAGUUUGUGACUCUAUACAUGCCACUGAUUAUAGAAAACAAUGAGUUAGAGGCGGGAGAGGCAGACUAGAAAGAUUUGCAACUUCUCCUUUGAGACGCUUUCCAAUGUAAGUAUUAUUGACUCUGAGUACACUUUCAUAUAAACUAUGUGGCGGUUUCCAUCUUCUAAUCAUAUUAUAUUUAGUGGCAGCCAAAACCAACAAGGUGUUGUGAGAAGCGAGGUGGUAGAGGCAGAGGCCAAGCUGAUGGUGGCAAAGGGAAUAAUGGCCCAGCUGGAGAUUGUCGUCCCUAAAAAUUUGCUAGAAAAUGAAAUAAAGAUCUCGGACAUGGACGUGCAGGAUAACAAUAGCAGUAGGAUUUUUACAGUUGCGGAUCCUCACGUAAACACGCUCAUGUCUGUUUAGGAGCAUCCGGAGCUAAAGCCGCUGUUGGUCAGACUUAUGCAACAAUCUUUUUCUGUAACUACGAGGUAUUUCCGCUUGAGUCAAGAGGUUAGAGGCUGCAACGAGUGUAUGACAGGAUACAAGGUGAUAAUUGUGCUACGAGAUAUCAGUGGGUUACUAACUAAUCAUACGACAGGGAAAAAGCCUCAUCGUUAAGAAAAUUUGCGCCGACCACCAGAGGAGUCAAGAAGCCUCACGUCCCGGAACCGCUGCUCUUCGUGAGAUUGAUUAUAAAAUAAAAUACCAGAAGAGUACAGAGCUGUUGAUCCGUAAAAUUUUAUUAAAUUUGAAGACAGUUAAAUUUACGUUAAUGUAUUUCAAUAAUUUUAAGAAAAACAAGGCAUAUUUUCAUAUUUUCAUAUUAAGAUCUAUAUGUAUAAAAAUAUGUUCGCUUCACUCCUGUUGCGCCACGUCAUAAAGUCGGUUCCUGACAGGCCGACACGUGUCCGGGUUGGAUGAUACUCACCGUUUCACUUAAGCACAAUUAUUAAUGGGCUUUUCUCUUUUUGUUAAUAAAUAUUUCAGAUCAGUGAUUUGGGCUUAACAUAAUUGGGUUUCUGGGCUCUAGGGUAACAUAUGAGGGGGUCCCACAUGAGACGGCUUCUUCUCCAAAAAUAAUGUCGACGAACGAAAGACAGAUCUACUGCGUUUUAACAACUCCGGUUCAAACCUACGGCCAAUGAGGAUUUGCUGCACCGGCCACGCUGAAUUCCGAUCAAGGUCAGUUGGAAGGCGUCGUAUUUGGCUGUUCGAUUCCACUUCUUCUACCCUUGGUUGAAUUUUCCUCAUCAAAUUUAAAAUAUUUUUUUUUAUUAAAUCGAGCAUGCAAUCUAACUUACCAUGUAAAUUUAUUAACAAAACAAUAAUGUAUUUCAAUAAUUUUAAGAAAAACAAGGCAUAUUUUCAUAUUUUCAUAUUAAGAUCUAUAUGUAUAAAAAUAUGUUCGCUUCACUCCUGUUGCGCCACGUCAUAAAGUCGGUUCCUGACAGGCCGACACGUGUCCGGGUUGGAUGAUACUCACCGUUUCACUUAAGCACAAUUAUUAAUAAAUAAAGAUUUAUUGUAUGUUUAUAUUUUAAAUGGGAUGAAUAAGCUGUUGAUUUAGGUAAUUAUUCGGUAUCAAAAAUCAGAAAACCCAUAUUGGCACAUCACCACAGCUGAAUUCGAGAAACUCAUCCGUAGAAUUAAUCAAGGAGAUUAAUGACAAACUAAGCAAACAAAUGGUGGAGAGGAAAUAGGGAGAGCUGAAAAAAUUGAGAGUUGUACAUUUGGACAGCUGAAAAAAAAUAGAAAGCAUUCUACAGCCUCGCCAUUAAAAAAGUUAUACUACUUGCACCACGAAAUGAAUUCAUCGUAAUCAAUGCUUACACUAUUUUCCAUACUGAUGGGAUCUUGAGAAGGUAUCUCAGAUAUUAGAAACUCUUCAAGAACAUAAUAAACAUUAUAUGCGGUUGAGUACUUUUUUUUUGUUUUUUUUUUGGAAUACACGGAUAUGUAUUCACAUAAUUCUCACUUAAUGUCAAUCAAAAAAGAAGAUUAUGUCAUGGUACAGACAUACAUACAAACGGAAUAUACAAUUACAUCACAAAAAGAAGAAGAAGCAUGAAUUACUUUAGGAAUGACUUCAAGUUUUGAGUCAUAUUCGGAAAAAAAAACCCUUAAAUAAGUUAGUUUAAUUAAGAAUAUUAUAAAACAAAACAUUUGAAUUAAAAUAAAUAUUAAAAAUAUAAUGUUAUUUAUCAGAGAAUAGUGAAAUUUACUGUCAUUAUAAUUCAAAACAAAAAAACUAAAAAAAAAAUUUCCUAUAUUUUGCAAAAUCAAUCUUAACUCAUGGAUAAAAUUAUGUGUGGCUCGCUCACGUGUUAUUGGCAAAACCGGAUUGACAACUAUACAAAAAAAGACUACCUACAAUAUUAUAAAAAAAAGAAAAAAUUGCCAAAACACCACGGAAAAACAACUAUAUUGUCUCUUUACCAUAAAUCCUUUUUUUGGUCGGAUUUGGACUUAGAUCCCCCUGACCAAUUUCAAAAAUUCAUAUCAAUUAUUUUAAGAAACAGAAAAAUAUGAAAAAUUAUUCAAAAUGUACAUAAACAUGAAACAAUCAUAUGAAAAAUAAUUUGGUUGACUAAAUAUUAGUGAAACACAAUUUCAUAUUUUGAUCUACGGAUAGUAGAAAACAAAAUCUACUAACUACGGAUAUGUAGAUCGUAGUUUCGGUUAACUACAUAGAUAUCUGGCGCUUUCAGAUUUUAAAAUCUACGAUUCGGUAAUCUGUCUACUAUCGCAGAAAGAAAAGGUUACGGUUUUACUUACGAUUUGAACGACGAAAGAUUUCACGAACUAAUGUUUCCUAUAUAUCUACUGGCUGAAAAUCACAGAAUCUGCCAGUUACUAAUAAUCUAGCAUGGUAACAUUUUGUUAUCUACUAAGAUACUAUAUCCUAUCUCUACCGGAUUAUACAGUCUAUCGUCAUAUCUACCAUCAUAUAUAAAAUCUACUGGCAGCAGAAUGCAUGUUCUCCCAAAUUCGUAAUCUUUUGGAAAAUAUUCCUAAAAUUUCUCCAAAAUCUGUUAAAAAAUAUUCUGUAAAUCUUUAUUUUCCCAAAUUUUACGUGUUUCCUAAAGUUAUUUUUUUUUAAAUAACCGUGAUCUCUCUUCCUCUUCACAAGUUCUUGAUUAAUUUUGAAACCACUCCAAAAAUUUGAAUCCCUUUUUGAAGAACAUGCAUAUAUAUGCCUCUUGUGGGGUGUGGAAAUUUGAUCCCAGUAAAGAAUGGGGAUUUGCUUUUGAUAAGGAAAAAGGAGGUAGAGUACUGGCUGUGGAAUUGACAAGUUCCUUUGAAUAUCUAAGGACUACGGCGUUUGAGGAUUUUGGAAUUGACCAAAACGAUGUCCAGCUUGAGUUAAGCUACUUACCUAUGGAGUUAAUCAGUACGAUAGGCUGUCCCCCAGUUAUCAUUGGGAAUGAUUGGCAAGUCAAAAAGGAUUGAAGGUUUAAGAUAUUGACAAAUGUCUAACUGACGAUUGUACUUCAAUCUACACCUCUGACUGGAGGGUAGCCUGGUACAAUUAUAGCAUGGUCUCUGAUGAGAUGAAACUUACCUGGUGGGGAGACUUUGUGGUGAGAGUUUUAUGUUACUUCUGUUAGAUUUUUAUGACAUUCUCAUAUUAAUAUAUAUUAUUCUGAUUGCAUAAUCCUUUUCUGUUUCAUUGCAGCAAAAGUAUUAUUGGGACCCCAUUCAUUACAAUGUGGUGCGUUUACAUUGGAAGAAGACAAUGAUGUCGUUGAUCUCCAACUUCAUCAGCAAGCGCAAGCGGAGUGGCAAGAUACCUCCAUUCAUGAGUUCAGAGCACUGGGGUGCUUUGCAAACAUAUUGGGGUACUGAACCUGCUAGAAAGAAAAGCAAGUCUGCUUCUGAAAGCCGCUGCUCAGAUCAAGGAGGUCUAGGUCAACACAUCCACACUGCUGGUUCGACACGAUUUAUGAAGAUCAAAUAUGAUACUAAGUCUGAACUUGUCUGAACUUGCUAAAGAUGUGCUUGCGGUUCAAGUUUCUUCUGUUGCUUCUGAAUCGGCGUUUAGCACUAGUGGGAGAAUUUUGGAUCCUUAUAGGAGUUCUUUGACUCCUUAUAUGAUCGAGGCUUUGAUAUGCACACAACAAUGGAUGCGGUCUUCAAAUCAGUCUCAGCCAGUAGUUGCAAACUUGGCUCAAAUGUUGGAAGAAGUUGACUUUUUUGAGUCAUUGGGUAAGUUUUACAACAAAUGGUGUUUGUUACAUAUUAUGAAUGGUAUGUUAAGCUUUAAUUUUCUUAACUAAUUAAUGGCGUUUUGUUCCUUUUAUAGAUUCUCGAAACUCACAGGCAUGACCAAGUGAGGUUUAGGUACGUGAAGGUACUCACUUUUGUUUGUUUUAGGUGCAUGUUCAUGCUCUGUUUUAAUUGAAAUUUGCUAUGUGAUGGGUUAUGUUUUCUGUUUGUUGUGGAUUUACGUUCUCAAGUCUGUGUCAUUGAUUCUUGAACCUACGAUAUUUUUUCAUUGCUGAUUCUUAUUGGUUAUAAUUUUGUGAUUGGUGAAGGUGAAGCUAAGGAAGUUGUGAAGAAAUGGAGAUGUUCGUUUUUGGUUUUAAGAGAAACAAAUGGGGUUUGUUUUUGGUGUGAAGAGAAAGAGAUGGUGUUUGUUUUUGGUCUCAACCUCUUCAAUCUCAUUUUAAAAUUAUGAAGUUGUAUGAACAAUGUUUUUGUUUUUGCUCUCUGUGGUUUCUGUCAAAAAACUUUAUUUUAUUAUCACACUAUGGAUGGCUGAGACCAAAAACAUUAUGGAUCGUUCAUGUCUGAAUUUUUCAUUUAUCAUUAUCAAACCAUAAUUAACCGAACAAACUGAAUAGGAGCAAACAUAACCGAGAAAACCGUUUAACCCGAGAAAACUGAAAAAAAAUUCAAAAAAAGAAAACGAAAAAACCAAGAAAUUAAACAUUUCGGUUCAAUUCGGACCACAUAAUAAUAUCUAAAACCGAACCGAAUAAACCGAUUUUCAAACCGACCCGAACCGAAAUUUACUUCGGUUUAUUUCGGUGUGAUAAUUCCAAAACCGAAAGAACCGUAAACCGAUUAACCCGACCCGUUUAACCCGAAAAAACCGAAUGCCCAGGACUACUUUUUUCAAUGAAUUUUUUUAUAUUUUAAUUUGCUUUUUUAGUAAAAGAUUGUGGUAGCUAUAUAACAUUGAUUUCAAUAUUUAUGUGUUGAAUAGGACGGUGUGAUACUAGGUGUGGAUACCCGAGCAACUGAAGGGCCCAUUGUUUUCUGAUAAGAAUUAUGAGCAAAUUCACUUAAGGGUACCAAACAUAUAUUGAUGUGGGGCUGAACAGUGCAUUCCAAGUUAUGAAGAGAUACAACAAUGUACUGUUUGAUGGAAGCUCAAUGAAACUAGAGAUUUUGGGUGGAAAUAUGAAGGAUGCUUUUUUGCAAGCUCGUGUUAAUGCAACUGGAAUGAACGAAAGGAUGAAGAGGACUGAUUCCAUUGAGGAUGUCUUGCUAUUUGAUUUGUCCUUUUUCCACUCACGAAAGAAAAGUGAAGUUUGUGACUUUAUACAUGCCACUGAUUAUUGGAGACAAUGAGUUAGAGGCGGGAGAGGCAGACUAGAAAGAUUUGCAACUUCUCCUUUGAGACGCUUUCCAAUGCAAGUGUUAUUGACUCUAAGCACGCUUUCAUAUAAACUAUGUGGCGGUUUCCAUCUUCUAGUCAUAUUAUAUUUAUUGGCAGCCAAAACCAACAAGGAGGUGUUGUGAGAAGCGAGGUGGUAGAGGCAGAGGCCAAGCUGAUGGUGGCAAAGGGAAUAAUGGCCCAGCUGGAGAUUGUCGUCCCUAAAAUUUUUUUAGAAAAUGAAAUAAAGAGCUCGGACAUGGACGUGCAGGAUAACAAUAGCAGUAGGAUUUUUACAGUUGUGGAUCCUCACGUAAACACGCUCAUGUCUGUCUAGGAGCAUCCGGAGCUAAAGCCGCUGUUGGUCAGACUUAUGCAACAAUCUUUUUCCGUAACUACGAGGUAUUUCCGCUUGAGUCAAGAGGUUAGAGGCUGCAACGAGUGUAUGACAGGAUACAAGGUGAUAAUUGCGCUACGAGAUAUCAGUGGGUUACUAACUAAUCAUACGACAGGGAAAAAGCCUCAUCGUUAAGAAAAUUUGCGCCGACCACCGGAGGAGUCAAGAAGCCUCACGUUCCGGAACCGCUGCUCUUCGUGAGAUUGAUUAUAAAAUAAAAUACCAGAAGAGUACGGAGCUGUUGAUCCGUAAAAUUUUAUUAAAUUUGAAGACAGUUAAAUUUACGUGAAUGUAUUUCAAUAAUUUUAAGAAAAACAAGGCAUAUUUUCAUAUUUUCAUAUUAAGAUAUUUAAUAUAUUACUCUUUUCAAUUCUAUACAGUUUCACAAUAUGAGAUUUUUAGUAUAUUUAACAAAGUUUAACUUCAUAAAAGUCUAUAACUAAUUAUAUUUACUAUUUUUAUCUAUAAUUAUAUAAAUUCAAUAUAAAUUAUAUUUUAAUGAUACUUUCAAUUUGCUUUAAUAUAUAUGUAUCAUGUAAAACAUCUUAUAUUAAAAAAAUAUGAUAGGACCGGAUUUUUACUAUACCAUACUCAUCAAAUUUAAAAUAUAUUUUUUUAUUAAACCGAGCAUGCAAUCUAACUUACCAUGUAAAUUUAUUAACAAAACAAUAGUGAAUUAUGUGAUAGUAUUUUUAUAUCUUUCAUUUAAAUAAAAAAAUAAAGAUUUAUUGUAUGUUUAUAUUUUAAAUGGGAUGAAUAAGUCGUUGAUUUAGGUAAUUAUUCGGUAUCAAAAAUCAGAAAAACCAUAUUGGCACAUCACCACAGCUGAAUUUGAGAAACUCAUCCGUAGAAUUAAUCAAGGAGAUUAAUGACAAACUAAGCAAACAAAUGGUGGAGAGUACAUAGGGAGAGCUGAAAAAAAUUGAGAGUUGUACAUUUCGACAGCUGAAAAAAAUAGAAAGCAUUCUACAGCCUCGCCAUUAAAAAAGUUAUACUACUUGCACCACGAAAUGAAAUCAUCGUAAUCAAUGCUUACACUAUUUUCCAUACUGAUGGGAUCUUGAGAAGGUAUCUCAGAUAUUAGAAACUCUUCAAGAACAUAAUAAACAUUAUAUGCGGUUGAGUACUUUUUUUUUGUUUUUUUUUUGGAAUACACGGAUAUGUAUUCACAUAAUUCUCACUUAAUGUCAAUCAAAAAAGAAGAUUAUGUCAUGGUACACGGCUUACUGUGACUUACUUGGUCUCUGUUAUGCUAAAUAUCAAUCAAAAAGAAGAUUACGUAAUGGUACACGGCUCAUUGUGACUUACUUAGGCGAUCGAAAACAGAAAUUAACUGUUAGGGUCUCUCACAGUGGUAAAAGACUUCGCCUAUGUAGGCACCACUGUUUUAUCAAACUAUGUUUUUCUAUGACAAUAAACAAGAACUAAGAUCUAAACUAAAAAAAAAAUUUCCUAUAUUUUGCAAAAUCAAUCUUAACUCAUGGAUAAAAUUAUGUGUGGCUCGCUCACGUGUUAUUGGCAAAACCGGAUUGACAACUAUACAAAAAAAGACUACCUACAAUAUUAUAAAAAAAAGAAAAAAUUGCCAAAACACCACGGAAAAACAACUAUAUUGUCUCUUUACCAUAAAUCCUUUUUUUGGUCGGAUUUGGACUUAGAUCCCCCUGACCAAUUUCAAAAAUUCAUAUCAAUUAUUUUAAGAAACAGAAAAAUAUGAAAAAUUAUUCAAAAUGUACAUAAACAUGAAACAAUCAUAUGAAAAAUAAUUUGGUUGACUAAAUAUUAGUGAAACACAAUUUCAUAUUUUGAUCUACGGAUAGUAGAAAACAAAAUCUACUAACUACGGAUAUGUAGAUCGUAGUUUCGGUUAACUACAUAGAUAUCUGGCGCUUUCAGAUUUUAAAAUCUACGAUUCGGUAAUCUGUCUACUAUCGCAGAAAGAAAAGGUUACGGUUUUGCUUACGAUUUGAACGACGAAAGAUUUCACGAACUACUGUUUCCUAUAUAUCUACUGGCUGAAAAUCACAGAAUCUGCCAGUUACUAAUAAUCUAGCAUGGUAACAUUUUGUUAUCUACUAAGAUACUAUAUCCUAUCUCUGCCGGAUUAUACAGUCUAUCGUCGUAUCUACCAUCAUAUAUAAAAUCUACUGGCAGCAGAAUGCAUGUUCUGCCAAAUUCGUUUUAUGUUACUUCUGUUAGAUUUUUAUGACAUUCUCAUAUUAAUAUAUAUUAUUCUGAUUGCAUAAUCCUUUUCUGUUUCAUUGCAGCAAAAGUAUUAUUGGGACCCCAUUCAUUACAAUGUGGUGCGUUUACAUUGGAAGAAGACAAUGAUGUCGUUGAUCUCCAACUUCAUCAGCAAGCGCAAGCGGAGUGGCAAGAUACCUCCAUUCAUGAGUUCAGAGCACUGGGGUGCUUUGCAAACAUAUUGGGGUACUGAACCUGCUAGAAAGAAAAGCAAGUCUGCUUCUGAAAGCCGCUGCUCAGAUCAAGGAGGUCUAGGUCAACACAUCCACACUGCUGGUUCGACACGAUUUAUGAAGAUCAAAUAUGAUACUAAGUCUGAACUUGUCUGAACUUGCUAAAGAUGUGCUUGCGGUUCAAGUUUCUUCUGUUG